RNAcentral lists this long non-coding RNA (451 nucleotides) under Brassica rapa (field mustard). RNAcentral describes it as "long non-coding RNA (BRAP_LNC003258)". Lineage: Eukaryota; Viridiplantae; Streptophyta; Magnoliopsida; Brassicales; Brassicaceae. The record is from RNAcentral.
UUAGACUAGUGAUGAUUUAUUUACUAAAUAUUUUACGAACUCCAUUAUGUCGUUGUAUAUUUUUUUAAUAAUAUUAAUUUUGAAAAUAGUAAAAAAUAUAAAAAAUAUAAUUAAAUUUUAAUUAUUUAGUUAAAUUAUAAUCAAUUUUAAAAUUAAUAUAUAGGAAUUAAUUUAAAGAAAUAAUAAUAUAAAUUAAAGUCUUAAAUUUUAUUAAACAAAAUCAUUGUAGAAAUAAAAUUUGUAUAUGUAUUAAAUUAAUCGAUUGAAGAAAAAAAAGAUGAUGUUUACAAAAAAAAAAAUGAUGAUAGUGAUUGUGAAAAAGUAUAAAUUAGGAUGUUGAAUUCAUACAACCAUAGUAACAAAGAAAAGAAAAGAAAAACUCAUACGACCAUUAUAUGCGGUCUUAGAACGUAGGAUACCUUCUUACAUUUAGAUCUUAACUCACUUUACA